UCAAACUUGGUCAUUUAGAGGAAGUAAAAGUCGUAACAAGGUUUCCGUAGGUGAACCUGCGGAAGGAUCAUUAAAAAUGAAGCUGGCUUAAUCAACCAGCAAUCAUAUCCUACCAUUUGUGCAUUUAUUGACCUUUUUGCUUUGGCAGGAUUCCUCUUGGAUCCUGCCAAGGGUAUCCAAUCACAUCCUGAUUUGUUUGACUGAUUAUAAAAAUAAUAAAUCAAUACAACUUUCAACAACGGAUCUCUUGGCUCUCGCAUCGAUGAAGAACGCAGC
This 276-nucleotide unclassified non-coding RNA is filed under the name uncultured fungus. RNAcentral's name for it is "partial contains small subunit ribosomal RNA, internal transcribed spacer 1, and 5.8S ribosomal RNA". The stretch from base 1 to 73 matches the Rfam family "Eukaryotic small subunit ribosomal RNA", at positions 1759 to 1831 of the family's 1831-position model. The record is from RNAcentral. Lineage: Eukaryota; Fungi.